Corvus hawaiiensis (hawaiian crow) is the source of this 1338-nucleotide long non-coding RNA. RefSeq lists it as uncharacterized. Lineage: Eukaryota; Metazoa; Chordata; Aves; Passeriformes; Corvidae. The record is from RefSeq and is a predicted model, not a curated record. The transcript has 3 exons.
UCCACGGUGUCCACAGAGAAUGUUUUGAAUAGUAAUUUUAUGCCAAGUUAUUCCCUAAAUUAGGGCCCUCAAUAUGCCCUGAAGCCUUGAUUCUGCAAAACCUCUCGCAUGUCUCUAACUUGGAGGAAGUCUCAUUAUCAUUCAUGAUCGUUAUUCAGAACACAGAAGCAACAUUCUGGAGCAGAUUUUACUGAAAGUCACAUUUACAGUUCUUUUCAUUUAGUCACGGAGGAUUAUUUUCUGCACUUUCUUAGCAUCUUUUUACCCAGAAGAGAAACUCUUGGAAAGGUGAACAUGAAGCAUCAUUAACUUGCAGAAUCCUGGCCAAGUUGGCUUGCAAGCGUGGUGCUUCAAGUACCAGGUUGCUGCUGGGUUUUUGCUGCUGGGAGCUGCCUCGCUGCCAGCAGAUGAGGAGUUAACUACAGCUCUGCUUUCCCAUUCUUCUAUACAGAUGCUUGGAGGCCAAGCUGCCAGAAAUCUAGCUCUUCUCAGAGACAGUGGGAGGAAUAUUUUAGUAAAGAGGAUGCCCGAAGUGAGUGAACUCUCAGCCAAGAAGGAUGAACAACUCCAACUCACUCAGCCUGCCUGCAAAGGAGAGGUGCUCAAUCCUAGCUUAAAAUACUUCUUGGACUAAUGCCCCAGUAAAAGCAAAUGUGCUCUGAGUCACGAGGGGAAAGGCAGUGGAGCUCGUUUCUGCCCCAGUGAAACGUGACAUUACAGCAAAAGCUUUCCCUCACAAGUCACCGUCUGGAGCAGGAUCCCGGCGUUUCCCGGCUUUUGCUGAAGGAUGGAGCACCGUCGGUGACCCGACUUGCUCUCCUUGCAGCGGAUCUGACACCACAAUCACUAAGCACAGACCGUGCAGCAAGCUCACUUAAUCCUACCCGGCGAACACAUGAGCCGCAGUUUGCCUUUCAGUCUGUAAAUUGUUCUUUUGUUUUGCAGGCUUUACUGAACACAGUUUUAUUUCAUGUGACUGUGCUAUUUAUGGAGGAGUAAAUAUUGCCGGAGGUCUAUUUAAAAAGGCCAAUGACCUGGAUUUUUUUCCAUUUGAAUUAUCUCCAAGAGUCAGACAUGUUUAACAACUGAUUUUUUUUUUCCCCCCUCCUUGUUUCUGUAGACUGCAAUCAUUUCUAACAUCUUAGAUCAACACCAACUAAAAAGAAAAAGAUUUUGAGUGAAAUAAAACUGCUUGUAGUAUGAAUGUGAUCAGACAGUAUGUGACCUUGCCAUUUUUGGAAGAGCUGAAUUCCAUCCUGAUUUACCAGUUAACAACACAGCAUGUUUUUAACCUCUGAAUAUUAGCCUUUUUGUACUGUUGUAGUAAUUUGAGUUCAU